GGUCAAGUUAUUAAGGGUGCAGGGCGGAUGCCUUGGCACUAGGAGCCGAUGAAGGACGUGAUAAGCUGCGAUAAGCUUCGGGGAGUUGCACGUAAACUUUGAUCCGAAGAUUUCCGAAUGAGGAAACUCACUUAGAGUAAUGUCUAAGUAUCAUUAAGUGAAUACAUAGCUUAAUGAGGGGAACUCAGGGAACUGAAACAUCUAAGUACCUGAAGGAAGAGAAAGAAAUUCGAUUCCGUAAGUAGCGGCGAGCGAACGCGGAUUAGCCCAAACCAAUAAAGUUUUCUUUAUUGGGGUUGCGGACAUAUCAUAACGAAGAGGUAUCGUAAUUGAAGAGGUUUGGAAAGACCCACCACAGAAGGUAAUAGUCCUGUAUGUUAAACGAGAAGACUUUAGAUAUGAUCCAGAGUACCACGGGACACGUGAAACCCUGUGGGAAGCAGGAGGGACCACCCUCCAAGGCUAAAUACUACCUAGUGACCGAUAGCGUAUAGUACCGUGAGGGAAAGGUGAAAAGAACCCCGGGAGGGGAGUGAAAUAGAACCUGAAACCCUGCACUUACAAGCUGUGGAAGCACAUUUCUUGUGUGACCGCGUACUUUUUGUAGAACGGGCCAACGAGUUACGUUAAGUAGCAAGGUUAAGCACUUAAGGUGUGGAGCCGUAGCGAAAGCGAGUUUUAACUGAGCGUUCAGUUACUUGACGUAGACCCGAAACCGGGCGACCUACCCAUGAGCAGGAUGAAGCGAAAGUAAAAUUUCGUGGAGGUCCGAACCCACGAGCGUUGAAAAGCUCGGGGAUGACUUGUGGGUAGCGGUGAAAUUCCAAUCGAGCCCGGAGAUAGCUGGUUCUCCCCGAAAUAGCUUUAGGGCUAGCCUCAAGGUGAGAGAUACGGAGGUAGAGCACUGAAUGUCCUAGGGGGUAUUGCACCUACCGAAGACUAUCAAACUCCGAAUGCCGUCAUCUUAUACUUGGGAGUCAGACUGUGGGUGAUAAGAUUCAUAGUCGAAAGGGCAACAGCCCAGAUCGUCAGCUAAGGUCCCUAAAUGUAAGUUAAGUGGUAAAGGAUGUGGGAUUGCACAGACAACCAGGAUGUUGGCUUAGAAGCAGCCACUCAUUCAAAGAGUGCGUAAUAGCUCACUGGUCGAGUGAUCCUGCGCCGAAGAUUUCCGGGGCUAAAACUUACUACCGAAGCUACGGCAUCAGUAAUGAUGGGUAGGGGAGCUUCCCAUACGGGUUGAAGCAUGACCGUAAGGACAUGUGGACAGUAUGGGAGUGAGAAUGUUGGCAUGAGUAGCGAGAUGUGGGUGAGAAUCCCACAGGCCGUAAACCCAAGGUUUCCAGGGGAAGGUUCGUCCGCCCUGGGUUAGUCGGGACCUAAGCUGAGGCCGAAAGGCGUAGGUGAUGGACAACAGGUUGAUAUUCCUGUACUACCGAUAACCGUUUGAGAGAAGGGAUGACACAGUAGGAUAAGCUAAGCACACUGUUGGUUAUGUGUGCCCAAGCAUUGAGGCAGUCAAAGUAGGCAAAUCCGCUUUGAUAAUGCUGGGAUGUGAUGGGGAGCGAAAUUUAGUAGCGAAGUAGCUGAUUUCACACUGUCAAGAAAAGUCUCUAUCGAGGUUAAAGGUACCCGUACCGCAAACCGACACAGGUGGGUGAGGAGAGUAUCCUAAGGCCAGCGAGAGAACUGUUGUUAAGGAACUCGGCAAAAUGACCCCGUAACUUAGGGAUAAGGGGUGCCACCAUCAGGUGGCCGCAGAGAAUAGGCCCAAGCGACUGUUUACCAAAAACAUAGGUUUCUGCUAAGUCGCAAGACGAUGUAUAGGAGCUGACGCCUGCCCGGUGCUGGAAGGUUAAGGGGAUCUGUUAGAGCAAUCGAAGCAGUGAACUUAAGCCCCAGUAAACGGCGGCCGUAACUAUAACGGUCCUAAGGUAGCGAAAUUCCUUGUCGGGUAAGUUCCGACCCGCACGAAAGGCGUAACGAUUUGGGCACUGUCUCAACAACAGACUCGGUGAAAUUGUAAUUCCGGUGAAGAUGCCGGAUACCUGCGACAGGACGGAAAGACCCCAUGGAGCUUUACUGUAGCUUGACAUUGGGUCUUGGUACUACAUGUACAGGAUAGGUGGGAGGCUUUGAAACCAGGACGCCAGUUUUGGCGGAGCCAUCCUUGGGAUACCACCCUUGUAGUACUGGGACUCUAACCAUAGGCCAUGAAUCUGGUCUUGGGACACUGUCAGGUGGGCAGUUUGACUGGGGCGGUCGCCUCCCAAAAGGUAACGGAGGCGCUCAAAGGUUCUCUCAGUACGGUCGGAAAUCGUACGUAGAGUGUAAAGGCAAAAGAGAGCUUGAUUGCAAGACAUACAGGUCGAGCAAGGAUGAAAAUCGGA
This 2387-nucleotide ribosomal RNA is filed under the name Clostridioides difficile. RNAcentral's name for it is "partial 23S ribosomal RNA". It matches the Rfam family "Bacterial large subunit ribosomal RNA", at positions 1 to 2410 of the family's 2925-position model. Lineage: Bacteria; Bacillati; Bacillota; Clostridia; Peptostreptococcales; Peptostreptococcaceae. The record is from RNAcentral.